RNAcentral lists this ribosomal RNA (216 nucleotides) under uncultured bacterium. Its description in RNAcentral is "partial 16S ribosomal RNA". It matches the Rfam family "Bacterial small subunit ribosomal RNA", at positions 1285 to 1500 of the family's 1533-position model. The record is from RNAcentral.
UACUCAGUUCGGAUUGAAGGCUGAAAUUCGCCUUCAUGAAGCUGGAAUUGCUAGUAAUGGCAGGUCAGCAUACUGCCGUGAAUACGUUCCCGGGCCUUGUACACACCGCCCGUCACACCAUGAGAGUUGGGAAUACCCGAAGCCUGUGAGCUAACUGUAAGGAGGCAGCAGUCGAAGGUAGAAUCAAUGAUUGGGGUGAAGUCGUAACAAGGUAUC